UCCUACUGCCUAGGCCUCCGAUUCAGUAGCAGCUUUUGUCUGUUCCUGACUUGUAAUUAUGCUUCUCAUCUUCGCCAGCCUCUCCUUCUGCCUUAACCACCCAAGCAAAAUGACUUGGGGUGGUGCUGGGAAAAAAGAAGGAGGAGCCCCCUCUUCCACCUUAGUCCCAGACUCCCACCCUCUUAUUAUCUUCCCAAUAGGCCAGUCAGCGCAUGGAGUGCCAAGUGAUCGUUAAAGAUUGCCUGCAAGUCCCUGAACACCAAUUUUUUCCUCCACACAGUCCCUGAAAUUUUGUGAAUAGAGAAUAUCAAUUUGAAUAUUUGGAUAUCAAUAGAGGAUGUCAAUUUAAGGUUAAUCACUUUCAAGGUCCUUAAAAAAUACCAAAUGCCUCUCAGAGUAUUAACAAAAUGCCCGUAGGAAUAUUAACACAUUAACACCUUACUGUGAAUUUGUUUAUGAGAUCACUUUCCUCUGUAAGUGGAGGGAUCUGGGGCACUCUGAAAACACAGAACACCUGGAGAAGGAAGAGGAGGAGGCUUUGAAAGGGGUAAGAAUGGUGGUGAAUUGAUUCUUCUAAUGAACUAAAGGCAGGGGCUUAUUUCUAUAAGUGUUCUGUGUCCCUAUUACUGGAAACUUUCAAGGGAUUUCAGAAAAUCAGGAAUUAAGGGAAAAGAAUAAUCAUUUAUUAAGUACCCAUAUGGUGUGCUUUAUAAAUAUCUUGUUUGAGUCUCACAACUACCCUAGGAGGUGGGUGCUAUUAUUAUCAACAUUUUACACAUAAACAAAUUGAGGAUCACCAGAUUAAUUAACUUGCCCAGGGUCAUCCAGCUAGGAAGGAUCAGAGGUUACAUUGAGCUCUACAUGCCCUGUGCUGUCUAGAGCUGGGGGCUAUUCAGAGACAUCAGAGAUGAUCAGAGGAACUCACAUCAGAGUUGCAGACCUGGACCAGAGAAGGCCCUGUGGUGAGAUGAAGAAAUCAGUGUAGAGAGAAGAAGAUUAAUGGAAGACCUUCUGAAGUCCUGGAUUCUUGGCCCCCCAAUCCACCUUUUUCCCAGAUAUAUUAGCAUUGCCUUCAGAUCACCUACAAGCCUACUUGGAUGUAAGGGAGCCCUUUUCUAUACUGAGCUGAGCUGUGGUGACCCAUAGAGACAACUCUAGUAUUAUAUCCAGAAGGUGAAGAUUGGAGCCCCAUCCAUCAGCUCAAAUGGUUUUGCUAGGAGUGAUGAGUCUCCCUACCUCCCUGAAGGAUCCCACAAUUAAACAGGCAGGGAAAUGUAUUUCAUGAAAUAUGCAUAGAGUUUUUUUUUUCCCUACAAAGCCAUUUAAACUUCCUUGAGCCAACGAUGGAAUGAAUGAUGAGAUGAGCCAUCUCUUACAACACACCAUUGGGCUCUGGACAUUGAUGACCACUGUGGGGCCUCAGGUUGAAUAUCUGCCAAGGCUUGGGGGAAUGGGAAAAUUUCCCUAAAGGAUAAUGGAAUUAUUUCCCUUAGCCAUGAGAUUUUUUUUUGGCUUCCUUAGGGAGGGGAAAAAGGCCUACUGAUUUGUAAUGUGAAUAUAGCUUCUCUCCUCUACCUUGCCAAGGAGUAAGCAAUCGCAUACCAGACCUAGACCUUCCCCUUUGUGACCACCUGAGAGUUUCUGCCCCCCCAUGGCUUCCCUCAGUGUCAGAGGUAGCACUUGGUAAUUGUGCUGUUGGUUUCCGACAGCCCAUUCCUGACUCCCAUGGCUAAUGGCUCCUUGUCAGCAUCAGGGUUGGAGUAAAUUCUUCAUUAUUGGAGGGAUCUGACAUGUAAGAACAACUGGAGUAAAUUGAUUGUAUUUUCCAAAUCAUCACCCAGCCUCUAAUUCUAUCUCUGAGACGAGUAAUUUGAACCAGAAUUAGCUCCUAAAUUAAGAAUCCAGGCACUUGAUGGAGAAGAGAAAAGCAGUCCUAGUGCAUCUCAGUGUCCAGGAAGAUAUUUGGAGAAAAGCUGGGCUCUGAGAGGAGACUUUGAGAAAGGAGAUGGAGAAAUGAAUCGUUGGCAAAUGUUGACAGUCAAGUUUGAUGGGGGGGUAUUUGCUCAUCCCUAUUGCCAAAAUCACGUUUGGUACAGGGGACAAUGUCAUUACAUGAGCAGACAGGUGAAUAUACUGGGGGAAGAGCAGCCUUGUCUACCUUGUGUAUAAAAAGUUCAUGAAAUAGAUUUUUAGCCCAAGAUUAACAAGGGUAGAUUUGACUCAGAGUGAGAACAUUUCAUGGAAUCCUAGAAUGCACGGAAGGAAUCUCAGACAUUAUCUAGUUUAACCUCUUUAUUUAACAGAGUAGGAAACAGAUUUAUAGUUUAAAGUAGCUUAUCCUAGGUCAACGAACUCAGUGGCAGAGUUUAGACUGGAACCAGGUCUCUUGUUUGCCAUCUGAAUGCUCUUUCCGGGGUACCGUGCUGCUUUUAAACACUGAUAUAGACAUACAUACAUACACACACACACACACACACAC
This is a long non-coding RNA of Sarcophilus harrisii (Tasmanian devil), 2479 nucleotides long. RefSeq lists it as uncharacterized. NCBI's taxonomy places the organism in Eukaryota, Metazoa, Chordata, Mammalia, Dasyuromorphia, Dasyuridae. The transcript is spliced from 4 exons. The record is from RefSeq and is a predicted model, not a curated record.